GUAUUUUAUUUAUGGUUGCUUUUUUACGGCAACUAUACAUUUGACAUUCUAUUACAUUCGUGGUUUGUGGAAAAAUACAUAGAUCCGAAGACCUACAAUUGGUUCACAGGUGUGUGGAUAUUUAUGAAGGUGUGCACAUGCCCAGGGGCCAGCAACAACCAACAUGAAAGUAUCAAUAAUGAUCCUUCCGCAGGUUCACCUACGGAAA
This 208-nucleotide unclassified non-coding RNA is filed under the name uncultured fungus. Its description in RNAcentral is "sequence contains ITS1". The record is from RNAcentral. Lineage: Eukaryota; Fungi.